UAUAACUUAACUUCUUCCUUGUUGACAGAGCUUUACGACCCAAAGGCCUUCUUCACUCACGCGGCGUUGCUGCGUCAGGGUUCCCCCCCAUUGCGCAAAAUUCCUC
RNAcentral lists this ribosomal RNA (106 nucleotides) under uncultured bacterium. RNAcentral's name for it is "partial 16S ribosomal RNA". The record is from RNAcentral.